Molecule: long non-coding RNA, 273 nt
Filed under: Nicotiana benthamiana
Lineage: Eukaryota; Viridiplantae; Streptophyta; Magnoliopsida; Solanales; Solanaceae
Description: long non-coding RNA (NBEN_LNC001581)
Source: RNAcentral
AGCUGCCCAGAAAUAUGCCAUGUUCUUCAAAUUUCCGAGCAGUCCCAAAAAUUUGACAGCUUCAUGGCUUUCUUUCAUGGCUUGCAUGUAUCAGAUAAGAAGGUCUGUAGCAGCUUUGCUGGAGGUUUGGUUAAUUGAGCUAAGAGCAUGAACAGCGACAUGCUCAAGAACAGAGUCCUUGGAUGGCCAGAGGGAUCUUGCUUAUAGCUGCUUCAAAGGUUUUGCUUAUUGUCAGAAUUGUGUCAAUCCGGAGGAAGAAAACAUAGAGGCUGC